RNAcentral lists this long non-coding RNA (1667 nucleotides) under Homo sapiens (human). RNAcentral's name for it is "HSALNT0068706". Lineage: Eukaryota; Metazoa; Chordata; Mammalia; Primates; Hominidae. The record is from RNAcentral.
GGCAAUCAUUGUCACUAUUGCUAUAGUUUUGCCAUAAGCUGAAACCUGAAACCUGAACCAGGAAAGGCAGUGUCCUGUGCUCAGGCCCAGAGGCAAGAGGGAGGGCAGCAACAUACCCAGAUCGCAGGAGCCGAUGGGCUGGAGCCGGGGAGCCUGGGUGAGCGUGGCCAAGACAGCCCUGCAGAGCCAGGCUACAGACCUGGGCCCUCCCGUCCCGCAGAGCUGCAGGGUCAGGCUUGCCUGUGAUGUACUCACUCCCACUGAAGUGUGAAGGGCACACAGAGGCCAGCAAGGGAGGAGGAGGCUCUGGAGAUCCAGGCAGAUCCUGGAGAACCUUAAUAACAGAUACCUACUCUAUGCCAGGCACCAUUCUAAGUCUGAAAACAAAGUUCAUCACAGCUCAAGGGAACACAUGGAUGUUUUCUAAUUCCUUGAAUUAUAUGCCUUUUCCUUCAAGCUGGAGGCCCGGAAGUGUGCAGAGGACAGUGAGGGGCCUCAAGUGUGGACAUCACAUGAGUACUGAAGAAGGACCCCUAGGGCUUCCGUGAAAAGAGGCCUCCAAUUGCAAAGCUGCUUUCUAUCAGACGAGGUCACGGACAGUAGUGAGGAGUGGCAGGCGGGAGGGGUGCCUGGCUGCCGGCCCACCCCACCCAGGACGAGGCAGCCCUCAGCGGAAUGGAAGACUCUGUGGCCAGUGCUCUUUGGGGCCUUGGCACCAGGUCCUCAGCAGCUGGGCCAGCCCUGCUACUCCCUCAUCCUGGAAGAGCCCCAGAGAAUAGGGGCCAUGCCCAUGCCCGCUGUGUCCCCUGCACCCCACGCAGGCUGGGGCACAGCAGCCACAGGACACAGGUGCGGGGUGAGUGGGGCUCCAGGGAAAGUGGGCACCCUCAGGCCUCAGCACACGGAGGCUUCCCGCCCCCACCUCCUGGGAGGCUGCCCAGUCAGGCUCCUACCUGGGUUUCCAGGUGCCUCGGUGCUCCCCCGGGAUCCUACAGCCCUGCAUGGUGAUGGGCACACUCCUCUUGUCUUCCCCAUUAGCUUGUGAAUGCCUCCAAGGCAAGACACAGCUGGGGCCAGAUCCUGUCUUCCUUCCCCACUUACUCGCUGUGUGACCUUAAGCAAGUCACUCAACACCUCUGUGCCUAUUUCCUCAUUUGGAAAAUGAAGUUAAUAAAAGCACCUAACUUAUAUGUGUUAACUAUGGAAGAUUAAAUGAAUGCAUACAAAUAAAAUGUUGUUCCCGUCUCUAUUCCCAGUGAUCAGGGUCUCGGAAUUGCUUGCUGAAUAAAUGGCUGCCUGGACAAAGGACUUUGUCCCUCUGGCCCCCUCACGUGGACUCUCUCUGGUAAUAAGGCCGUUGCUGAGCAGCGAUGAGAGGCUGAGGAGCAUAGACGGGCACCAGGCUGCCUAGGUUCAGAUGCCAGCUGCCCCCGCUCUUUGCUGUGUAACGUUGGGGGUACUCCCUCAGCCUCUCUGUUUCUGCUGUGUAAGUGAGGAUGGCUGUGCUCCUGCCUCCCUGCAGAACUGUUGGCAGGUGAAGCAGGCAACACUUAAGAGCUGCAGUGUGGGCCCUCAUGCAGAUUUUAAUAAAAAUAACUCCCCUUCCCCUCGGUGUCCCCUUCCUCCCUCUAAAGGCUGGUAAAGAAAGGCAGGGAGGAGCGCAUUUG